GUGAGGUAAAAGCUCACCAAGGCUUCGAUCAGUAGCUGGUCUGAGAGGACGACCAGCCACACUGGAACUGAGACACGGUCCAGACUCCUACGGGAGGCAGCAGUGGGGAAUUUUGGACAAUGGGCGCAAGCCUGAUCCAGCAAUGCCGCGUGAGUGAAGAAGGCCUUCGGGUUGUAAAGCUCUUUUGUCAGGGAAGAAACGGUUCUGGGUAAUACCUGGGGCUAAUGACGGUACCUGAAGAAUAAGCACCGGCUAACUACGUGCCAGCAGCCGCGGUAAUACGUAGGGUGCAAGCGUUAAUCGGAAUUACUGGGCGUAAAGCGUGCGCAGGCGGUUGUGCAAGACAGAUGUGAAAUCCCCGGGCUCAACCUGGGAAUUGCAUUUGUGACUGCACGGCUAGAGUGUGUCAGAGGGGGGUAGAAUUCCACGUGUAGCAGUGAAAUGCGUAGAGAUGUGGAGGAAUACCGAUGGCGAAGGCAGCCCCCUGGGAUAACACUGACGCUCAUGCACGAAAGCGUGGGGAGCAAACAGGAUUAGAUACCCUGGUAGUCCACGCCCUAAACGAUGUCUACUAGUUGUCGGGUCUUAAUUGACUUGGUAACGCAGCUAACGCGUGAAGUAGACCGCCUGGGGAGUACGGUCGCAAGAUUAAAACUCAAAGGAAUUGACGGGGACCCGCACAAGCGGUGGAUGAUGUGGAUUAAUUCGAUGCAACGCGAAAAACCUUACCUACCCUUGACAUGUCUGGAAUCCCUGAGAGAUUAGGGAGUGCUCGAAAGAGAAUCAGAACACAGGUGCUGCAUGGCUGUCGUCAGCUCGUGUCGUGAGAUGUUGGGUUAAGUCCCGCAACGAGCGCAACCCUUGUCAUUAGUUGCUACGAAAGGGCACUCUAAUGAGACUGCCGGUGACAAACCGGAGGAAGGUGGGGAUGACGUCAAGUCCUCAUGGCCCUUAUGGGUAGGGCUUCACACGUCAUACAAUGGUACAUACAGAGGGCCGCCAACCCGCGAGGGGGAGCUAAUCCCAGAAAGUGUAUCGUAGUCCGGAUUGGAGUCUGCAACUCGACUCCAUGAAGUUGGAAUCGCUAGUAAUCGCGGAUCAGCAUGUCGCGGUGAAUACGUUCCCGGGUCUUGUACACACCGCCCGUCACACCAUGGGAGCGGGUUUCACCAGAAGUGGGUAGCCUAACCGCAAGGAGGGCGCUCACCACGGUGGGAUUCGUGACUGGGGUGAAGUCGUAACAAGGUA
Molecule: ribosomal RNA, 1248 nt
Filed under: metagenome
Description: bacterial SSU rRNA
Rfam family: Bacterial small subunit ribosomal RNA
Source: RNAcentral